Molecule: RNase P RNA, 363 nt
Filed under: Deltaproteobacteria bacterium
Lineage: Bacteria; Pseudomonadati; Myxococcota; Myxococcia
Description: RNase P RNA component class A
Rfam family: Bacterial RNase P class A
About the family: Ribonuclease P (RNase P) is a ubiquitous endoribonuclease, found in archaea, bacteria and eukarya as well as chloroplasts and mitochondria. Its best characterised activity is the generation of mature 5'-ends of tRNAs by cleaving the 5'-leader elements of precursor-tRNAs.
Source: RNAcentral
CCAAGCAACCACGUGUUCGCUCUGAUUGCAAAAUCAGGGAGGAAAGUCCGGACACCACAGAGCACCAUAGCGGGUAACGCCCGCCCAGUGGGAAUUACACACUGAGGACCAGUGCCACAGAAACCAAGUACGCUGCGUGUCGGUUCGCCGGCAAGCAGGCAGUAGUGAAAAGGGUAAACUCUAUGGGGUGCAAGGCCAAAUAGGUCUUGUGAAACCAUUUUGGUUAUUGGUCUGCUCGACCAAUUCGUCUUCGGGCGGCACAAGAUGGGUAGGCUGCUCCAGGCAACUGGCAACAGUUGUCGCAGAUGAAUGAACACGCGUUCGUAAGAACGACAGAAUCCGGCUUACCGGUUGCUUGUAUUC